CCACAGAGGAACUCGAAGACGCAUAUAAUUUAGAUGAACUUACUCCUGAAAAUCGCUUACCUUCGGACGAAAUUCAAGAAGACCUUAAAUCUGAAAUACCACUGGACAAUAAACAAGGUGUAGCUCACGAUGAGGUCAGUCGCAACGUGGAGCCGUUUGAAGACACGCCUACGUCUGCUGCAUCGUUCCCUCACACAAAAGAAUCGCUCGUUUACGGAAAUCUAGACAAUCUCGGCAUAACAUAUGGAAAAACAAAUCAACGAGUAUUGUAUAGUCAGAGUAGAAGAAACACUAUACUGGAAACCCUACUGAGGCUGUUAGACCAACCGUCGUAUUCCCGAGAAUGGAGUCAUAAGAAACCUCUUGUUGUGGUGUUUUUUAGAAAUCCACACAGAAAAGUAAAAA
Cydia amplana is the source of this 405-nucleotide long non-coding RNA. RefSeq lists it as uncharacterized. NCBI's taxonomy places the organism in Eukaryota, Metazoa, Arthropoda, Insecta, Lepidoptera, Tortricidae. The transcript is spliced from 5 exons. The record is from RefSeq and is a predicted model, not a curated record.